GGUUAAGCGACUAAGCGUACACGGUGGAUGCCCUGGCAGUCAGAGGCGAUGAAGGGCGUGCUAAUCUGCGAUAAGCGCCGGUAAGGUGAUAUGAACCGUUAUAACCGGCGAUACCCGAAUGGGGAAACCCAGUGUGACUCGUCACACUAUCAUUAACUGAAUCCAUAGGUUAAUGAGGCGAACCGGGGGAACUGAAACAUCUAAGUACCCCGAGGAAAAGAAAUCAACCGAGAUUCCCCCAGUAGCGGCGAGCGAACGGGGAGGAGCCCAGAGCCUGAAUCAGCAUGUGUGUUAGUGGAAGCGUCUGGAAAGGCGCGCGAUACAGGGUGACAGCCCCGUACACAAAAGCGCAUGUGCUGUGAGCUCGAUGAGUAGGGCGGGACACGUGGUAUCCUGUCUGAAUAUGGGGGGACCAUCCUCCAAGGCUAAAUACUCCUGACUGACCGAUAGUGAACCAGUACCGUGAGGGAAAGGCGAAAAGAACCCCGGCGAGGGGAGUGAAAAAGAACCUGAAACCGUGUACGUACAAGCAGUGGGAGCCCCACCACUAAGCCAGUGGUGAACUCCACAUACGCAUCCUUUGCUGAAGGCAAUGGUUAACGGAGCGAAAGCGACGUUCAACCGCAAAACAAGCAGAGGGGGCUUAGUGGUGGGGUGACUGCGUACCUUUUGUAUAAUGGGUCAGCGACUUAUAUUCUGUAGCAAGGUUAACCGUAUAGGGGAGCCGGAGGGAAACCGAGUCUUAAUUGGGCGUUAAGUUGCAGGGUAUAGACCCGAAACCCGGUGAUCUAGCCAUGGGCAGGUUGAAGGUUGGGUAACACUAACUGGAGGACCGAACCGACUAAUGUUGAAAAAUUAGCGGAUGACCUGUGGCUGGGGGUGAAAGGCCAAUCAAACCGGGAGAUAGCUGGUUCUCCCCGAAAGCUAUUUAGGUAGCGCCUCGUGAAUUCAUCUCCGGGGGUAGAGCACUGUUUCGGCUAGGGGGCCAUCCCGGCUUACCAACCCGAUGCAAACUGCGAAUACCGGAGAAUGUUAUCACGGGAGACACACGGCGGGUGCUAACGUCCGUCGUGAAGAGGGAAACAACCCAGACCGCCAGCUAAGGUCCCAAAGUCAUGGUUAAGUGGGAAACGAUGUGGGAAGGCCCAGACAGCCAGGAUGUUGGCUUAGAAGCAGCCAUCAUUUAAAGAAAGCGUAAUAGCUCACUGGUCGAGUCGGCCUGCGCGGAAGAUGUAACGGGGCUAAACCAUGCACCGAAGCUGCGGCAGCGACACUCAGGUGUUGUUGGGUAGGGGAGCGUUCUGUAAGCCUGUGAAGGUGUGUCGUGAGGCAUGCUGGAGGUAUCAGAAGUGCGAAUGCUGACAUAAGUAACGAUAAAGCGGGUGAAAAGCCCGCUCGCCGGAAGACCAAGGGUUCCUGUCCAACGUUAAUCGGGGCAGGGUGAGUCGACCCCUAAGGCGAGGCCGAAAGGCGUAGUCGAUGGGAAACGGGUUAAUAUUCCCGUACUUGGUGUUACUGCGAAGGGGGGACGGAGAAGGCUAUGUUGGCCGGGCGACGGUUGUCCCGGUUUAAGCGUGUAGGUGUGUGUUCCAGGUAAAUCCGGUUCACUUUAACACUGAGGCGUGAUGACGAGGCACUACGGUGCUGAAGCAACAAAUGCCCUGCUUCCAGGAAAAGCCUCUAAGCAUCAGGUAACAUCAAAUCGUACCCCAAACCGACACAGGUGGUCAGGUAGAGAAUACCAAGGCGCUUGAGAGAACUCGGGUGAAGGAACUAGGCAAAAUGGUGCCGUAACUUCGGGAGAAGGCACGCUGACACGUAGGUGAAGUGAUUUACUCAUGGAGCUGAAGUCAGUCGAAGAUACCAGCUGGCUGCAACUGUUUAUUAAAAACACAGCACUGUGCAAACACGAAAGUGGACGUAUACGGUGUGACGCCUGCCCGGUGCCGGAAGGUUAAUUGAUGGGGUCAGCGCAAGCGAAGCUCCUGAUCGAAGCCCCGGUAAACGGCGGCCGUAACUAUAACGGUCCUAAGGUAGCGAAAUUCCUUGUCGGGUAAGUUCCGACCUGCACGAAUGGCGUAAUGAUGGCCAGGCUGUCUCCACCCGAGACUCAGUGAAAUUGAACUCGCUGUGAAGAUGCAGUGUACCCGCGGCAAGACGGAAAGACCCCGUGAACCUUUACUAUAGCUUGACACUGAACAUUGAGCCUUGAUGUGUAGGAUAGGUGGGAGGCUUUGAAGCGUGGACGCCAGUCUGCGUGGAGCCGACCUUGAAAUACCACCCUUUAAUGUUUGAUGUUCUAACGUGGACCCGUAAUCCGGGUUGCGGACAGUGUCUGGUGGGUAGUUUGACUGGGGCGGUCUCCUCCUAAAGAGUAACGGAGGAGCACGAAGGUUGGCUAAUCCUGGUCGGACAUCAGGAGGUUAGUGCAAUGGCAUAAGCCAGCUUGACUGCGAGCGUGACGGCGCGAGCAGGUGCGAAAGCAGGUCAUAGUGAUCCGGUGGUUCUGAAUGGAAGGGCCAUCGCUCAACGGAUAAAAGGUACUCCGGGGAUAACAGGCUGAUACCGCCCAAGAGUUCAUAUCGACGGCGGUGUUUGGCACCUCGAUGUCGGCUCAUCACAUCCUGGGGCUGAAGUAGGUCCCAAGGGUAUGGCUGUUCGCCAUUUAAAGUGGUACGCGAGCUGGGUUAGAACGUCGUGAGACAGUUCGGUCCCUAUCUGCCGUGGGCGCUGGAGAACUGAGGGGGGCUGCUCCUAGUACGAGAGGACCGGAGUGGACGCAUCACUGGUGUUCGGGUUGUCAUGCCAAUGGCACUGCCCGGUAGCUAAAUGCGGAAGAGAUAAGUGCUGAAAGCAUCUAAGCACGAAACUUGCCCCGAGAUGAGUUCUCCCUGAGACUUAGAGUCUCCUGAAGGAACGUUGAAGACGACGACGUUGAUAGGCCGGGUGUGUAAGCGCAGCGAUGCGUUGAGCUAACCGGUACUAAUGAACCGUGAGGCUUAACCUU
Molecule: ribosomal RNA, 3007 nt
Filed under: Salmonella enterica subsp. enterica serovar Thompson
Lineage: Bacteria; Pseudomonadati; Pseudomonadota; Gammaproteobacteria; Enterobacterales; Enterobacteriaceae
Description: 23S ribosomal RNA
Rfam family: Bacterial large subunit ribosomal RNA
Source: RNAcentral